UUGUGAUCGCUAGUUAUUAAAAAAAAAAAGAAAAAAAAAAUCGAUCAAAAAAAGAAAAAAAGUAAAUUUUUUGGCUUGAAUCACUUCUGAAGAGAAAUCCAGGGGGAGUGGUGGAAGAGAAACCCUGCUGGCUGAAGAGAAACCCAGCCUUAGGACAGUUAAGGCGGAUCCACACAAAAAUCUCUUCAUUGUUCUUUCUCUUUUCUUUUCCCACAAAGUUUGUUUUGGGUUUUGACUGCUGAUUUUU
This 247-nucleotide long non-coding RNA is filed under the name Brassica rapa (field mustard). RNAcentral's name for it is "long non-coding RNA (BRAP_LNC006637)". Lineage: Eukaryota; Viridiplantae; Streptophyta; Magnoliopsida; Brassicales; Brassicaceae. The record is from RNAcentral.